This 23-nucleotide non-coding RNA is filed under the name Arabidopsis thaliana (thale cress). Lineage: Eukaryota; Viridiplantae; Streptophyta; Magnoliopsida; Brassicales; Brassicaceae. The record is from RNAcentral.
CAAGAUACCUUGAACUGCAGACC